GACGAACGCUGGCGGCGUGCUUAACACAUGCAAGUCGAACGGUGAAGGGGCCUGCUUUUGUGGGUCCUGGAUGAGUGGCGAACGGGUGAGUAACACGUGAGUAACCUGCCCCCUUCUUCUGGAUAACCGCAUGAAAGUGUGGCUAAUACGGGAUAUUCUGGGUCUGUCGCAUGGUGGGCCUGGGAAAGAUUGCGCCUUUUUUGGUGUUUUUGGUGGGGGAUGGGCUCGCGGCCUAUCAGCUUGUUGGUGGGGUGAUGGCCUACCAAGGCGGUGACGGGUAGCCGGCCUGAGAGGGUGGACGGUCACACCGGGACUGAGACACGGCCCAGACUCCUACGGGAGGCAGCAGUGGGGAAUAUUGCACAAUGGGCGCAAGCCUGAUGCAGCGACGCCACGUGAGGGAUGGAGGCCUUCGGGUUGUGAACCUCUUUCGCCAGUGAAGCAGGCCUGCCUCGUUU
Molecule: ribosomal RNA, 458 nt
Filed under: Actinomyces naeslundii
Lineage: Bacteria; Bacillati; Actinomycetota; Actinomycetes; Actinomycetales; Actinomycetaceae
Description: bacterial SSU rRNA
Rfam family: Bacterial small subunit ribosomal RNA
Source: RNAcentral